GGCGAAGGGGCUGAGGAAGCCCCGGGCAGCGCCGGGAGGGGGCGCAGGAGCUGCCGCGGGCAAAUGGCGGUGCUGGCCCGAAAAUAAGAUGGGUGUCCUUGCCCGUGUCAUUGCUAACAACUGCACGGCGUGGGCAGUGAUAGCUGAGAGAUGCGGCUGGAGCCAGAGGAAACACUCAGACCCGUUCAUGUCUAGCAGAAGUUUGUUUGUAGUUGAUGUGAGCUGGGUUUGCUCACAGGUUAGAGCCCAAACGUGUGUUCAGCACCACGCGUACUUAAGUGUUCCCAACAUUUAAGAGAGACAGCUUUUGUAAAAAUCCUUAGAGAAGUGCCACCACCUCGUUGAUGUCAGCUUAUCUGAAGAGACCUCUUGACCUGAAGUCCAGCAGAAAUUGCCAACAUAUGUUCAGAUUGUUUUUGUACAAGCAAA
Molecule: long non-coding RNA, 429 nt
Organism: Corapipo altera (White-ruffed manakin)
Lineage: Eukaryota; Metazoa; Chordata; Aves; Passeriformes; Pipridae
Exons: 3
Source: RefSeq, a predicted model, not a curated record